UGCUGGAGGUAUCAGAAGUGCGAAUGCUGACAUAAGUAACGAUAAAGCGGGUGAAAAGCCCGCUCGCCGGAAGACCAAGGGUUCCUGUCCAACGUUAAUCGGGGCAGGGUGAGUCGACCCCUAAGGCGAGGCCGAAAGGCGUAGUCGAUGGGAAACGGGUUAAUAUUCCCGUACUUGGUGUUACUGCGAAGGGGGGACGGAGAAGGCUAUGUUGGCCGGGCGACGGUUGUCCCGGUUUAAGCGUGUAGGUGUGUGUUCCAGGUAAAUCCGGUUCACUUUAACACUGAGGCGUGACGACGAGGCACUACGGUGCUGAAGCAACAAAUGCCCUGCUUCCAGGAAAAGCCUCUAAGCAUCAGGUAACACGAAAUCGUACCCCAAACCGACACAGGUGGUCAGGUAGAGAAUACCAAGGCGCUUGAGAGAACUCGGGUGAAGGAACUAGGCAAAAUGGUGCCGUAACUUCGGGAGAAGGCACGCUGACACGUAGGUGAAGUGAUUUACUCAUGGAGCUGAAGUCAGUCGAAGAUACCAGCUGGCUGCAACUGUUUAUUAAAAACACAGCACUGUGCAAACACGAAAGUGGACGUAUACGGUGUGACGCCUGCCCGGUGCCGGAAGGUUAAUUGAUGGGGUCAGCGCAAGCGAAGCUCCUGAUCGAAGCCCCGGUAAACGGCGGCCGUAACUAUAACGGUCCUAAGGUAGCGAAAUUCCUUGUCGGGUAAGUUCCGACCUGCACGAAUGGCGUAAUGAUGGCCAGGCUGUCUCCACCCGAGACUCAGUGAAAUUGAACUCGCUGUGAAGAUGCAGUGUACCCGCGGCAAGACGGAAAGACCCCGUGAACCUUUACUAUAGCUUGACACUGAACAUUGAGCCUUGAUGUGUAGGAUAGGUGGGAGGCUUUGAAGUGUGGACGCCAGUCUGCAUGGAGCCGACCUUGAAAUACCACCCUUUAAUGUUUGAUGUUCUAACGUGGACCCGUAAUCCGGGUUGCGGACAGUGUCUGGUGGGUAGUUUGACUGGGGCGGUCUCCUCCUAAAGAGUAACGGAGGAGCACGAAGGUUGGCUAAUCCUGGUCGGACAUCAGGAGGUUAGUGCAAUGGCAUAAGCCAGCUUGACUGCGAGCGUGACGGCGCGAGCAGGUGCGAAAGCAGGUCAUAGUGAUCCGGUGGUUCUGAAUGGAAGGGCCAUCGCUCAACGGAUAAAAGGUACUCCGGGGAUAACAGGCUGAUACCGCCCAAGAGUUCAUAUCGACGGCGGUGUUUGGCACCUCGAUGUCGGCUCAUCACAUCCUGGGGCUGAAGUAGGUCCCAAGGGUAUGGC
Molecule: ribosomal RNA, 1323 nt
Filed under: Salmonella enterica subsp. enterica serovar Typhimurium
Lineage: Bacteria; Pseudomonadati; Pseudomonadota; Gammaproteobacteria; Enterobacterales; Enterobacteriaceae
Description: partial 23S ribosomal RNA
Rfam family: Bacterial large subunit ribosomal RNA
Source: RNAcentral